Molecule: ribosomal RNA, 465 nt
Filed under: uncultured bacterium
Lineage: Bacteria
Description: partial 16S ribosomal RNA
Rfam family: Bacterial small subunit ribosomal RNA
Source: RNAcentral
GACGAACGCUGGCGGCGUGCUUAACACAUGCAAGUCGAACGGUAAGGCUCCAGCUUGCUGGGGUACACGAGUGGCGAACGAGUGAGUAACACGUGGGUGACCUGCCCUGCACUUCGGGAUAAGCCUGGGAAACUGGGUCUAAUACCGGAUAGGACCGCACCGUGAGGGUGUGGUGGAAAGUUUUUUCGGUGUGGGAUGGGCCCGCGGCCUAUCAGCUUGUUGGUGGGGUAAUGGCCUACCAAGGCGGCGACGGGUAGCCGGCCUGAGAGGGUGGACGGCCACAUUGGGACUGAGACACGGCCCAGACUCCUACGGGAGGCAGCAGUGGGGAAUAUUGCACAAUGGGCGGAAGCCUGAUGCAGCGACGCCGCGUGGGGGAUGACGGCCUUCGGGUUGUAAACUCCUUUCACCAUCGACGAAGGGUUUCUGACGGUAGAUGGAGAAGAAGCACCGGCUAACUACGUG